AAACUUACCAGGUCAAGACAUGGGCGUGACUGACAGGCUAAUGACUUUUCUCGAUUCCAUGGAUGGUGGUGCAUGGUCGCACUUAGUUGGUGCAGUGAUUUGUCAGGUUUAUUCCGGUAACGAACGAGACCUCGGCCUUGUAAAUAGCUAUGCUGCUUACAGGGACAUUGGCGGCUACGCCAAGGAAGCUCGAGGCAAUUGCAGAUCUGGAAUGCCCUUAGAUGUCCUGGGUCGCACGCGUGCUACAAUGACGCCACGAACGAGCUUGCGUGAUGAAAGUUACGCAUAAUCAGCAGUCGGCGUCUUAAGGGAUAGUCUCUUGUAACUGUGGGACUCCAACUAGGAAUGUCUCGUAAGCACAAGUCAACAUCUUGUGUUGAUUACGUCCCUGCUCUUUGUACACACCGCCCGUCGCUCCUACCGAUCGAGUGUUUAGGUGAAUUUGAUGGACGUAAGGAAGUCAAAUAAACCUGAGCACUAGAGGAAGAGAGUCGAGCAUC
RNAcentral lists this ribosomal RNA (500 nucleotides) under uncultured Myrionecta. Its description in RNAcentral is "bacterial SSU rRNA". It matches the Rfam family "Eukaryotic small subunit ribosomal RNA", at positions 1211 to 1798 of the family's 1831-position model. Lineage: Eukaryota; Ciliophora; Litostomatea; Cyclotrichida; Mesodiniidae. The record is from RNAcentral.